Molecule: transfer RNA, 77 nt
Filed under: Alphaproteobacteria bacterium
Lineage: Bacteria; Pseudomonadati; Pseudomonadota; Alphaproteobacteria
Also listed under: 2 other names
Description: tRNA-Pro
Rfam family: tRNA
About the family: Transfer RNA (tRNA) molecules are approximately 80 nucleotides in length. Their secondary structure includes four short double-helical elements and three loops (D, anti-codon, and T loops). Further hydrogen bonds mediate the characteristic L-shaped molecular structure. tRNAs have two regions of fundamental functional importance: the anti-codon, which is responsible for specific mRNA codon recognition, and the 3' end, to which the tRNAs corresponding amino acid is attached (by aminoacyl-tRNA synthetases). tRNAs cope with the degeneracy of the genetic code in two manners: having more than one tRNA (with a specific anti-codon) for a particular amino acid; and 'wobble' base-pairing, i.e. permitting non-standard base-pairing at the 3rd anti-codon position.
Source: RNAcentral
CGGGGAGUAGCUCAGUCUGGUAGAGUGCUUGCUUUGGGAGCAAGAUGUCGCAAGUUCGAAUCCUGUCUCCCCGACCA